Molecule: long non-coding RNA, 2760 nt
Filed under: Nicotiana tabacum (common tobacco)
Lineage: Eukaryota; Viridiplantae; Streptophyta; Magnoliopsida; Solanales; Solanaceae
Description: long non-coding RNA (NTAB_LNC010068)
Source: RNAcentral
GCUUCUCAUUUUCUUGCUCUUUAUCAAAUGUGUUACUCCACUUUCUGUCCUCUUUAUGUUGUUUCCUGUUUUAUUUUGCAAUGGAACGUAACUACAAAGUUAAGGAAAGAGAAGGUUUUAGUAGUUUAAAGCAAACGCCGGAAAAGAUAGUAAUAAGCGAAUUUAAGGAUAUAAAAUUAAACUGAAUUUAACUGGAUCCAUUUCGAUUCAAUUAUCAUUGUUUAUUAUUUAUAAACUAAAAACAUGAUUAACCAAAAUAGAUCGAAUCAACUUAAUAUUUUUUUAAUAAUUAAGUAAACAAGCUUUCUUAAAAGUUUAAACUUUUAAAACAGAUUAGAAAAUCAACAUGUGUUUCAAAGAAGUAUUCAUCUCUAAAUUUAGGAAACUUUACUUUUUGGAAUUCUCUAGAUUUGUGUUGAAGGAGAGCUACUUUGAUACUAUAAUUAUAUAAUCUUGUUUUGAAGAAAAGGUCAAAUUCUAGUCUUGUGAGUCAAAUUUGAUAAAAGAAUUGUUGUUUGGGUUGUUAAUUUGCUCCAAGGACCCUUACAGCAAAAUCCAGUUUCAGUUUGCUCCUAAAUGUUUUCCUUUUAACAUACUUACUAACUAAUAUUUAUAUAUUUUAAAUAUACAACAUGUCACACCUCCUUUUUACACACCUACCCCGGAGGAUAAUGUAUAAGAGAGUUUUUCCAUUUAAAGUGACAUUAUUCUGAGCGGGAUUAUUUAUUUAUUUAGAGUCGCCACUUGGGAAAUGUUUGACUUUUGGUGUCCCAAGUCACCGGUUUAUCUUGAAUCCCGAACCGAGGAAAAUUGUCGACUUCCAAUUGGAGUCUGUGAACCAGAAAUUCUAAGCAAGGAAUUCUGUUGACCCGAGGGAAGGUGUUAGGCACCCCCGGAUCCCGUGGUUCUAGCACGAUCGCUUAAAUUGUUGUAAAUGGUUAAGAGUCCGAUUUUAAUACAUGCCAACUUUAUGUGCUUUUAUUAACUUUAAACCGCAGUUAUCACUAUUUUUUAAAAGAAUUGCAACGUCGUGAAAACGCGUCUCGAACCACGUCACAUCAAUGCACCCGUGGUUAUUGACACAUUUCGACAUCCGUUGAGAUUUGGAUUUGGGUCACAUAAAUGUGCACCCGAGUUUAGGAAUGUAAUUUGAUUAAAAUCGCGCUUAAAGAGUCUAACGCGUUAUUGUCUUUGGGGAAGGCCGUGAAAUUCACUAAACGGCCUAUCCCGAAUUCUAUUUAUCUAUUAUAACCAAUUACCGAGGGCCCCGCAAUUUAUUUAUUUUGUUCGGCGAGGCUCGUCUCAUGGCUUAUUUAAAGGUACACUCUAAAGUAAAUUAUGAUUUUUCUAAAUUAUUUGUCUCUAAUAAAAUAAAAAUCCUAAUUAAUCAUUAUUAUUUAGGAGUUACUUCAUUUCCAAAUAAGGAUUAAAAUUAAGUCCAUGACUUCAUUGAAGCUUCAACAUUUGGGCUUUAAUACCGGCCCUAUGCCAUUUUGCUUGUGGUUGCGUAGAGAGAAAAUAAACCCAGACGUGGGCCAUGAACGGAAACAUGCCCAAAUUUAUUGUAUUGGUGGCUUGCCCAGUUCAGCUUAUUACAUGAGCAACUACUUUGUUUUUGUUUGUUUCAUUUCAAUUAACCAAUUGAAUCUACCUCAUGCAUUUUUAAUAGUGACAAUGUGAAGCAGAAUCCAUUGACAGAAACCAGAUAUACUNNNNNNNNNNNNNNNNNNNNNNNNNAAAAAAGUUCUAACUAAACCUGUUUAUAGCUAAUUUCAUGAAGAUCAUAAGGCGACACUGAAUCCAAACCGGCUAAGAGAUUCACAUGCUCAUUUGUGACUUGUUUUUAGCUAAUGCUCAAAUUAGCACAUAAGUAUUUAUUCAUAUUUAUAGUAGAGCAUACUUCUAAAUUGCUUGCAAACUCAACCACAUUCUGAUUCCAUAUGCUUACCCAGUAUUACCAUGAAAACCAAACAUUAGACCACGCUGUGUCCACGAAUAACAAACAUCAAUUAACAGCCCUAAGAGAUCUGAUUUGAGUACAAAUUUCAACAGUCCAUAGCAGGAGAAGUAAUCUUAAUCAGACAGUCCUAAUUGAUAUACACAUUAUAAAAUUUCACAUGAACAUAAAUAUGAAACUGUAUGCAAACUGAAACAAAUAAACAACUGGCACUUCAAUUUCUUUUCAAUUGGCUAUAUUAAGCUUGAGAUCACAAACGUCAUUCAUAGUCGAGCCAAGUACCUGGGAAUUAGAAUGCAACAGGAAGAGGAGAAGUUAGCAGCAGCAGCAACGAUUGAGAAUGUCCAGCAACAACACAACAAUUUUAACCCAGAAAGCAGACCAGUAGUCCAAAUAUCAAAUAGGACAGAGGGAUUGACCAAAACAGCACCACAACAAACCAGUAAACUCAAAAGGCAUCCAGAAAUACUCAGCAAACACCAAACUCAAACAAAACCCACUUUACUUAAACCAGAACUGCUCAAUACUAAACCAGCACGAUCCAGAAACUCCAAUAAUCAAACGAGAAGAAAAUCGAACAAAACUAAAUCAAAAACCAAUGUAACAAUGCAUUUUUUUGCAAUUUUCUCAUAUUUUCUGUUUUUGUUUUUGUUUCUUUUUUGAGAUUUUGGAAAUUUGAAAUCUAAAAGAGAGUUUGAACUAUUAGAAAUCAGAUCUAGGUUGAAAUUUGAAUUCUGCUUAGACUUGUAGAGAGGGCCCUUUUGGGGGAAAUUUUUGAGCUUGCAAACUUUUGGGAAUUUUCA